UUAGUCUGACAUUAGUGGAAGGAAAGCUUUUGGAAGGGAUAAUAGCAUAAGGAUAAGAUUGCUGACUACAUUGAAAACCACAAUACUUUGAUGGGAUCGCAGUGGAUGUAAUACAAUUAUUGAUGCAAGGGUCAGUCAGGAGGAAAUUCAAAAGUGACUGGAACAUGUAAAGGUAAACAAAGUAUAGGUAUUGGUAACCAAUAAUGAAACGUUGAGCAGGGUUGGACUGGACCGGUGGGAGACCGGGAAAAAACCCGGUGGCCUAGACCAGACCUGCUCCCUGCGCAAAGCCGCUGGCAUGGCUUCUGACCUCCUUCCUUGGCCCUCUGAGGAAUAGAAGAAUGAACAUAAGAACUGGAAUUGCGUAAAUUCAUGGACUUUCAAUUUGUGACAUGGUUUAUCAUUGUCCUGUGCUGUCCUCAGCAGUUCCACAAUAUGACCGUCUUAUCCAUCUUACAAUUUAUUUCCAAGUGGCAAUGAUACCUUAUCUGAAGGCUGAUAUUCCCUCGGAGGAGAACCUUCAUUGUACAAGCUUUCAGGCUUCUGCUGCAAAUUUAUUUAGACUCCUGGCAAACUUCCCAGCUAUAAUAUUCUUUUCUCUAAAAUACAUUUAAAUGGUUCUUUUGAGCAGAGAUGAGUGAAUCAGCGGCAUUUCAAAUAGAACUCAAAUAAAAGAGAGACUCAAAUAAAUCAAAUUCAUAAAAAAUGGCAACUCUUGUGUGUUACCCAUGUGCCUGGUAUACUGUACAUCAGAAUCUUUUCUGUAAUAGUUUGUCCCAAUUUUUUCACGAAAGACAAUCAUCUUCAGGACACAUGUUAUGACCCUUAAACAGUUACAGUAGUUAGAACCAAUAAGGCAUGGCACACAAAGAUUAUUUUAAAUAUUUCAACUAAAAUCUGUCAGAUUUUGGUUAUACAACUCUAUAUGAUAUAAUUUGACUUAUUACAUAGUAACAUAGUAACAUAGUAAGUAAGGUUGAAAAAAGACACACGUCCAUCAAGUUCAACCUUUUCGUUUUUUUUAUCUGCCUAAC
Long non-coding RNA from Xenopus laevis (African clawed frog), 1034 nucleotides. RefSeq lists it as uncharacterized. The transcript has 3 exons. The record is from RefSeq and is a predicted model, not a curated record. NCBI's taxonomy places the organism in Eukaryota, Metazoa, Chordata, Amphibia, Anura, Pipidae.